RNAcentral lists this ribosomal RNA (506 nucleotides) under uncultured Glomus. Its description in RNAcentral is "SSU rRNA". It matches the Rfam family "Eukaryotic small subunit ribosomal RNA", at positions 569 to 1078 of the family's 1831-position model. The record is from RNAcentral. Lineage: Eukaryota; Fungi; Glomeromycota; Glomeromycetes; Glomerales; Glomeraceae.
AGCAGCCGCGGUAAUUCCAGCUCCAAUAGCGUAUAUUAAAGUUGUUGCAGUUAAAAAGCUCGUAGUUGAAUUUCGGGAUCAAUAUAUUGGUCAUGCUUAGGUAUGUACUGGUAUUAUUGAUUUCUCCCUUCUGAAGAACCAUGAUGUCAUUAAUUUGAUGUCGUGGGGAAUCAGGACUGUUACUUUGAAAAAUUAGAGUGUUUAAAGCAGGCUUUCGCUUGAAUACAUUAGCAUGGAAUAAUGAAAUAGGACGUUUGAUUCUAUUUUGUUGGUUUCUAGGAUCGACGUAAUGAUUAAUAGGGAUAGUUGGGGGCAUUAGUAUUCAAUUGUCAGAGGUGAAAUUCUUGGAUUUAUUGAAGACUAACUAUUGCGAAAGCAUUUGCCAAGGAUGUUUUCAUUAAUCAAGAACGAAAGUUAGGGGAUCGAAGACGAUCAGAUACCGUCGUAGUCUUAACCAUAAACUAUGCCGACUAAGGAUCGGAUGAUGUUAAUUUUUUAAUGACUCU